CACAUGCAAGUCGAACGCAGAUUUUAAUCUGAGUGGCGGACGGGUGAGUAACACGUGAGAAUUCGCCUUUAGGCGGGGAAUAACCAUCAGAAAUGAUAGCUAAUGCCCCAUGUGCUCGAAAGAGUGAAAGGAGUAAUCCACCCAAAGAGAAGCUCGCGGCUGAUUAGCUAGUUGGUAAGGUAACGGCUUACCAAGGCGACGAUCAGUAGCUGGUUUGAGAGAACGAUCAGCCACACUGGAACUGAGACACGGUCCAGACUCCUACGGGAGGCAGCAGUGAGGAAUUUUCCGCAAUGGGCGAAAGCCUGACGGAGCAAUACCGCGUGAGGGAUGAAGGCCUUUGGGUUGUAAACCUCUUUUAUCAAGGAGGAAGUUCUGACGUGUACUUGAUGAAUAAGCAUCGGCUAACUCCGUGCCAGCAGCCGCGGUAAGACGGAGGAUGCAAGUGUUAUCCGGAAUCACUGGGCGUAAAGCGUCUGUAGGUGGUUUAAAAAGUCUACUGUUAAAAGUUGAAGCUUAACUUCAAAGAUGCCGUAGAAACUCUUAAACUUGAGUAUGGUAGGGGUAGAGGGAAUUUCCAGUGGAGCGGUGAAAUGCGUAGAUCUUGGAAAGACCACCAAUGGCGAAGGCACUCUACUGGGGCCAUUACUGACACUGAGAGACGAAAGCUAGGGGAGCAAAUGGGAUUAGAUACCCCAGUAGUCCUAGCUGUAAACGAUGGAUACUAGAUGUUGUGUGUAUCGACCCGA
This 749-nucleotide ribosomal RNA is filed under the name cyanobacterium enrichment culture clone E_4_E.2.8_F08-T7. RNAcentral describes it as "bacterial SSU rRNA". It matches the Rfam family "Bacterial small subunit ribosomal RNA", at positions 52 to 840 of the family's 1533-position model. The record is from RNAcentral. Lineage: Bacteria; Bacillati; Cyanobacteriota.